This 459-nucleotide ribosomal RNA is filed under the name Acanthopagrus schlegelii (black porgy). RNAcentral's name for it is "partial 12S rRNA". It matches the Rfam family "Bacterial small subunit ribosomal RNA", at positions 61 to 900 of the family's 1533-position model. The record is from RNAcentral. Lineage: Eukaryota; Metazoa; Chordata; Actinopteri; Spariformes; Sparidae.
AUCCCCGUGAGAAUGCCCUGUAGUUCCCUACCCGAGAACAAGGAGCUGGUAUCAGGCACAUCCAAUCUAGCCCACGACACCUUGCUAAGCCACACCCUCAAGGGUACUCAGCAGUGAUAAACAUUGAUAUACAUAUAAGUGUAAACUUGACUCAGCCAAAGCUAAAACAGGGCCGGUAAAACUCGUGCCAGCCACCGCGGUUAUACGGGAGGCCCAAGUUGCUAGGAGUCGGCGUAAAGGGUGGUUAAGAACAAAACUAAAAUUAAAGUCGAACAUCUUCCGAGCUGUUAUACGCAUCCGAAGGUAAGAAGCUCAAAUGCGAAAGUAGCUUUAUAUCUUCUGAAUCCACGAAAGCUGAGAUACAAACUGGGAUUAGAUACCCCACUAUGCUUAGCCAUAAACAUUGACAGUUUAUUACAUUUUCUGUCCGCCUGGGUACUACAAGCAUUAGCUCAAAAC